RNAcentral lists this ribosomal RNA (253 nucleotides) under uncultured bacterium. RNAcentral describes it as "partial 16S ribosomal RNA". It matches the Rfam family "Bacterial small subunit ribosomal RNA", at positions 524 to 776 of the family's 1533-position model. The record is from RNAcentral.
UACGUAGGGGGCUAGCGUUGUCCGGAAUCAUUGGGCUUAAAGAGCGCGUAGGCGGCCCGGUAAGUCUGCUGUAAAAGUCAAAGGCUUAACCUUUGAAAGUCAGUGGAUACUGCCGGGCUAGAGUCCGGAAGAGGCGAGUGGAACUCCUGGUGUAGCGGUGGAAUGCGGAGAUAUCAGGAAGAACACCAACGGCGAAGGCAGCUCGCUGGGACGGAACUGACGCUGAGGCGCGAAAGCGUGGGGAGCAAACAGG